Cucurbita maxima (winter squash) is the source of this 504-nucleotide long non-coding RNA. RefSeq lists it as uncharacterized. NCBI's taxonomy places the organism in Eukaryota, Viridiplantae, Streptophyta, Magnoliopsida, Cucurbitales, Cucurbitaceae. The transcript is spliced from 2 exons. The record is from RefSeq and is a predicted model, not a curated record.
GUGGUGGCUGAGGACAUGGUGCUGGACGGUUGUAGUUGACAUGGCGGGGCAAGAACACUCCUGUCCCCGAUGACCCUCCUCCUGGUUUUGCCCCUGAAUUGGCUUGUGAGGUGCUUCCUUGAGCCUGCUUGGCUUGUGUGGCUGCGGAGCUUUUUUGCUUCAUAAACUGCUGCUGCUGCUGGUUCUGCCUCCGCUUCUGAUUCUACAAGGAGGGUUGAGUUUUGAAUCAGCAAAGAAAGAGUUUUGCUGAAAACGUUGUGUGAAAUAUCCAGCCCUCCACGCUCUACAACUACCGGCGUCGAUGGCGGCGAUGGCUCCUUGGAAGGCCCUUCUGGACUUCCGUAGCUGCUCUCAGUGCUAGAGCCUAGUGGUGACCACAGCGUUGAAAUUGGCGAACUAGACAAACCCCAUGGCUACCAAAACAGAAGACACCCACAAAAUAAUGAAAACAGAGGAACAAAGAAUUUGACAAACGCCCUGAAAUCUCUUCCACUCCUUACUAAA